GCCUGCCUCCCCCCGCAACCGCGUGCUCCCCGCCUUGGCCCAGUGCUGUGCGUGAGGGGAUCGGCCGUGCGCGUUGAUGACCACCCAUAGUCUGUCCAGACCAGAAGAAGAACCUUUUGGAAGAUGAGUGUGUUUGUGCAGUAGCCAUGGGUGAUCUUCCUGGCAUCACAGGGAUAGGCAUGUGGUGAAAGCUUCUAAGCAUGUGAAGAGUGUGUACUAGAAGGUGACGAAGUACUGACACCCCAGCUCUCCUGCAGUUUUAUGAGGAAGAAUUGUUAGAACCAGCCUGAAACCAGUGGCAAUGCAAGACUACUCCCUUAGAAACAAAAAGCUGUUAAGGACUUGGGAAUGUUAAGCCUUUAAAUGCUUACACUAACACGAGUUAUUUCUAACUGUAUUAGAACAGUGCUUAUGUAGACAUAAAAAAAAAAAAA
Gallus gallus (chicken) is the source of this 434-nucleotide long non-coding RNA. NCBI's taxonomy places the organism in Eukaryota, Metazoa, Chordata, Aves, Galliformes, Phasianidae. The record is from Ensembl.